RNAcentral lists this ribosomal RNA (504 nucleotides) under uncultured bacterium. RNAcentral describes it as "partial 16S ribosomal RNA". It matches the Rfam family "Bacterial small subunit ribosomal RNA", at positions 30 to 523 of the family's 1533-position model. The record is from RNAcentral.
AUUGAACGCUGGCGGCAGGCCUAACACAUGCAAGUCGAGCGGUAACACAGGGAGCUUGCUCCCGGGUGACGAGCGGCGGACGGGUGAGUAAUGUCUGGGAAACUGCCUGAUGGAGGGGGAUAACUACUGGAAACGGUAGCUAAUACCGCAUAACGUGGCAAGACCAAAGAGGGGGACCUUCGGGCCUCUUGCCAUCAGAUGUGCCCAGAUGGGAUUAGCUAGUAGGUGGGGUAAUGGCUCACCUAGGCGACGAUCCCUAGCUGGUCUGCGAGGAUGACCAGCCACACGUGAACUGAGACACGGUCCAGGCUCCUGCGGGAGGCAGCAGUUGGGAAUAUUGCACAAUGGGCGCAAGCCUGAUGCAGCCAUGCCGCGUGUAUGAAGAAGGCCUUCGGGUUGUAAAGUACUUUCAGCGGGGAGGAAGGUGCUGCGGUUAAUAACCUGAGCAAUUGACGUUACCCGCAGAAGAAGCACCGGCUAACUCCGUGCCAGCAGCCGCGGUAA